AUUGAACGCUGGCGGCAUGCUUUACACAUGCAAGUCGAACGGUAACAGGCCUUCGGGUGCUGACGAGUGGCGAACGGGUGAGUAAUGCAUCGGAACGUGCCCAAUCGUGGGGGAUAACGUAGCGAAAGUUACGCUAAUACCGCAUAAGCCCUGAGGGGGGAAAGUGGGGGACCGCAAGGCCUCACGCGAAUGGAGCGGCCGAUGUCAGAUUAGCUAGUUGGUGGGGUAAAGGCCCACCAAGGCGACGAUCUGUAGCGGGUCUGAGAGGAUGAUCCGCCACACUGGGACUGAGACACGGCCCAGACUCCUACGGGAGGCAGCAGUGGGGAAUUUUGGACAAUGGGCGCAAGCCUGAUCCAGCCAUGCCGCGUGCGGGACGAAGGCCUUAGGGUUGUAAAGCUCUUUUACCAGGGAUGAUAAUGACAGUACUUGGAGAAUAAGCUCCGGCUAACUCCGUGCCAGCAGCCGCGG
RNAcentral lists this ribosomal RNA (471 nucleotides) under uncultured bacterium. RNAcentral describes it as "bacterial SSU rRNA". It matches the Rfam family "Bacterial small subunit ribosomal RNA", at positions 29 to 520 of the family's 1533-position model. The record is from RNAcentral.